UUUUCUUUGUUUUUCUGCAAACUCAGUCACAAAUUAGUCACUCGCAAAUCCAAACUCAUCUUUCAUUCUUCAAGCUUUAAACUUCAUCUUUCACAAAUUAAACACGCCACAGUAAAGAUAAUUAAACACACCACAAAAAACUAAGAAGCCACAAAUUAAACUUCAUCCUUCUAGGUACCUUCAUCAAACCCAGCCACAAAUUAAACACUUUCAGUGAAAACGUGAAUCGUGUAUGGCAGCUUUUAGCCUUCAUCACCAGCGACGAGUUGGUCCUAUGCAACAUUUUUCUACUUCAGCACCAACCACGAGUUUUCUUUGUCUUCCUCUUCCAUCUAUUAAGGAGCAUUUCCGUCGAGAAGUGUUUGUUGAUUUCUCCGAUAAUUUUCUAAUAAUUCUUGUUUGUUACUCAACAAUCUAAAAUUAUUUCAUUGUUAAUUAUUCUUAUUAUUAAUCUUUAAUUGAUGAAGAAAUUUGUAGGAGAAAUUUCUACAUAAGUGAUGGGGAAAUUUGAGAAGUGAUGAUGCCUAAAAAACUAUGAAAGUGAUGGAGAAAUUUGAGUAGUAGUAGUUACCCCAAUUUUCAAUCAUCCUUUAAAACUGCAUGUUAUGUGUUUGUGAUAUUGUCUCUGUUAAUAAUAAGUCCAAUGCUAUAAAUUUUUAAACACAUUUGUCAAUUUGAGUUUGUGAUUUGUGUUGGUUGUUGUUUAAUGUGUUCAUACUCUUAUGUUUGAAAUAAUGGAGUUAUUUUUGACAUUGUAUAUGUUAAUAAUAAGUCUAAUGAUAUAAAUUUUUAAAUAUAUUUGUUAAUUUGAGUUUGUGAUUUGUGUUAGUUGUUGCUUAAUGUGUUCAUACUCUUAUACUCUUAUGUUUGAAAUAACGGAGUUAUUUUAUGCAAUUAUAUUGCUUUGCUGGGUAGCUUAAAUUUAAAAGUUAUAGCUGUGAUUAUGAGUUACUUAAAACUUAAAAGUAUAUCAGUUUUUUAUACUGAUAGAAUGAUAAACACUACUUCAAUUUAGAUCUAUUAUUCUGAUGUCUCAAAUUCGAAGUUAGGACUCUUCAAAUCAAAUCUGGUCUACUACUACUACUGACUCCACCGUAUCAAUUCAUCACUACUCACUUAGUAGGGAUAAGGAAGGAAGACCAGUUUGUUACCAUCUUUUUGAGGUUUUCAAAGACAAGGUUUUGUAUAAGAAGACAUUUGGAACACAGGAGAUAUGUGAACUUUUUUUGAGGUGGAGAAUUCAGUUGAUGGAAAUUGCUGUUAAAAAGUUGUGUUUUGGAGGAGGGGUUGAUUCAACUAUUCAGGUUUUUGAUUUAAAGAAUUCACCAAUUCAAGGAAUGAAAGAGCUUAGUGCACUCAGCAAAAAGGCUCUUAUAUUGUUUCAGAAUUAUUAUCCUGAGAUUAUUUACAAAAAUAUUAUAGUAAAUGCACCAUUUUGGUUCUACACUUCACAAGUUUUAUUCUCAAGGUCUAUGAACCUAUGAACCAGAGAAAUAAAAAGAAGUUCAUCUUGGCAAGACCACAAAAGGUUACACGAAUUCUUCUCAAGUAUAUAGCCCCAGAACAUCUUCCAGCUGAAUAUGGUGGUCUAAGGAGGAAUAGUGACCAAGAUUUUUCCCCUGAUGAUAAGGUUUUGGAGCUUAAAAUCAAAGCAAAUUCUCCACACCAUAAUCUUCUGUAACAUAUAAAUUAGGCUAAAUUACAUUCGUGGUCCUUUAACUUAAUUUCAGGUAACGUUUUAGUCAUUUAUCUUUUUUUUCCCGA
Cicer arietinum (chickpea) is the source of this 1764-nucleotide long non-coding RNA. RefSeq lists it as uncharacterized. NCBI's taxonomy places the organism in Eukaryota, Viridiplantae, Streptophyta, Magnoliopsida, Fabales, Fabaceae. The record is from RefSeq and is a predicted model, not a curated record.